Regulatory RNA element from Vagococcus penaei, 141 nucleotides. It matches the Rfam family "Ribosomal protein L20 leader". From Rfam's summary of the family: This family is a putative r-protein leader autoregulatory structure found in B. subtilis and other low-GC Gram-positive bacteria. It is located in the 5' untranslated regions of mRNAs encoding initiation factor 3 followed by ribosomal proteins L35 and L20 (infC-rpmI-rplT). NCBI's taxonomy places the organism in Bacteria, Bacillati, Bacillota, Bacilli, Lactobacillales, Enterococcaceae. The record is from Rfam.
GAAAUAAAGCAGGAGCACCCGCUUCUCGCCUUAGUUGUUUUAAGCGACUGGGCUUGAUAAAGAUAAUUCUUUUCGUUCUAGCGACGUCAUAGAAUUUUUGGUGCGGGCUCUUGAUAAAAGAACCCGUUUUUCUGUGUUUUU